UACGUAGGGGGCAAGCGUUGUUCGGAAUUACUGGGCGUAAAGCGUGCGCAGGCGGUGAUGUAAGACAGGUGUGAAAUCCCCGGGCUUAACCUGGGAACUGCAUUUGUGACUGCAUCGCUGGAGUGCGGCAGAGGGGGAUGGAAUUCCGCGUGUAGCAGUGAAAUGCGUAGAUAUGCGGAGGAACACCGAUGGCGAAGGCAGCCCCCUGGGCUAGCACUGACGCUCAUGCACGAAAGCGUGGGGAGCAAACAGG
RNAcentral lists this ribosomal RNA (253 nucleotides) under uncultured bacterium. Its description in RNAcentral is "partial 16S ribosomal RNA". It matches the Rfam family "Bacterial small subunit ribosomal RNA", at positions 524 to 776 of the family's 1533-position model. The record is from RNAcentral.